This is a small nucleolar RNA of Nerophis ophidion (straightnose pipefish), 130 nucleotides long. RefSeq annotates it as small nucleolar RNA SNORA63. Lineage: Eukaryota; Metazoa; Chordata; Actinopteri; Syngnathiformes; Syngnathidae. The record is from RefSeq and is a predicted model, not a curated record. The transcript has a single exon.
GUGCAGGAAUAGUUACAAUGUAGCCUGUGCGGUGCUGCUUUGUCGUUCCCCCUGCAAAAAGUAACCUGUUUCCUCGCUAUCCUUGUCUGCCUACUUCUCCUGGCAGCCCGGGACGCAUGGUUUCAGACAC